Molecule: ribosomal RNA, 465 nt
Filed under: uncultured bacterium
Lineage: Bacteria
Description: partial 16S ribosomal RNA
Rfam family: Bacterial small subunit ribosomal RNA
Source: RNAcentral
GACGAGCGCUGGCGGCGUGCUUAACACAUGCAAGUCGUACGGUAAGGCCCUUUCGGGGGUACACGAGUGGCGAACGGGUGAGUAACACGUGAGUAACCUGCCCACAACUUUGGGAUAACGCUAGGAAACUGGUGCUAAUACUGGAUAUGUGCCCCUGCUGCAUGGUGGGGGUUGGAAAGCUCCGGCGGUUGUGGAUGGACUCGCGGCCUAUCAGCUUGUUGGUGGGGUAGUGGCCUACCAAGGCGGCGACGGGUAGCCGGCCUGGGAGGGUGACCGGCCACAUUGGGACUGAGAUACGGCCCAGACUCCUACGGGAGGCAGCAGUGGGGAAUAUUGCACAAUGGGCGCAAGCCUGAUGCAGCAACGCCGCGUGCGGGAUGACGGCCUUCGGGUUGUAAACCGCUUUCAGCAGGGACGAAGCUUUUUGUGACGGUACCUGCAGAAGAAGCACCGGCUAACUACGUG